RNAcentral lists this ribosomal RNA (253 nucleotides) under uncultured bacterium. RNAcentral's name for it is "partial 16S ribosomal RNA". It matches the Rfam family "Bacterial small subunit ribosomal RNA", at positions 524 to 776 of the family's 1533-position model. The record is from RNAcentral.
CACGUAGGGCGCAAGCGUUGUCCGGAAUUAUUGGGCGUAAAGAGCUCGUCGGCGGUCUGUUGCGUCCGCUGUGAAAACCCGGGGCUUAACCCCUGGCUUGCAGUGGAUACGGACAGACUAGAGGUAGGUAGGGGAGAAUGGAAUUCCCGGGGUAGCGGUGAAAUGCGCAGAUAUCGGGAGGAACACCGGUGGCGAAGGCGGUUCUCUGGGCCUUACCUGACGCUGAGGAGCGAAAGCGUGGGGAGCGAACAGG